AACUAACAAGGAUUCCCCUAGUAGCGGCGAGCGAAGCGGGAAGAGCUCAAAUUUAUAAUCUGGCACUUUCAGUGUCCGAGUUGUAAUCUCUAGAAGUGUUUUCCGCGUUGGACCGCACACAAGUCUGUUGGAAUACAGCGGCACAGUGGUGACACCCCCGUACACGGUGGGACGCCCAGCGCUUUGUGAUACACUUUCGAAGAGUCGAGUUGUUUGGGAAUGCAGCUCAAAUUGGGUGGUAAAUUCCAUCUAAAGCUAAAUAUUGGCGAGAGACCGAUAGCGAACAAGUACCGUGAGGGAAAGAUGAAAGCACUUUGGAAAGAGAGUUAACAGUACGUGAAAUUGUUGGAAGGGAAACGCUUGAAGUCAGACUUGCUUGCCGGAGCUGCUUCGGUUUGCAGGCCAGCAUCAGUUUUCCGGGGUGGAUAAUGGCGGUAGAAGGUAGCAGCUUCAGCUGUGUUAUAGCUUUCCGCUGGAUACAUCCUGGGGGACUGAGGAACGCAGCGUGCUUUUAGCGGGGGUUUCGACCUCUUCACGCUUAGGCUGGUGUAAUGGCUUUAAA
RNAcentral lists this ribosomal RNA (562 nucleotides) under Rhodotorula paludigena. RNAcentral's name for it is "LSU rRNA". It matches the Rfam family "Eukaryotic large subunit ribosomal RNA", at positions 63 to 644 of the family's 3401-position model. The record is from RNAcentral. Lineage: Eukaryota; Fungi; Basidiomycota; Microbotryomycetes; Sporidiobolales; Sporidiobolaceae.